AGGGGCUUGUGGGUAGCGGCUGCGCGCGGCCGGAGACGGGCGCCGCGCGGGAGUGUGCGAGGGGAGCGGGCUUGUGGGACCGAGGCGGCCGCGGCGAGCAUGGGGGCGGGCUGGCGGCGGCCGUAGUUGUCUGAGCCCGGGCUUCAAGCCUCCCGGAGCCCCAGAGGGCGGGGCGGUCCGGGCCCGGCGGUGGCCGCGCCGCUUCCCCGCUCCCGCCCUCGGAGUCCUGAGGGAGCCCGCGGCGGACAAGCGGACCGGGCGGCGCGAAUCUGACUGAGGGGCGGGGACGCCGUCUGCUCUUCGCCGCUCCCGGCCGGGCCGGGCGGCCCCUCGGACGGCCCCAGGCCCGGGACCGGCGCGGAGACCCGAAGCCGGGGCUAGAGGCGGGCGGUGGGCCCUGGCGGAGCCCCGCCCGGGGCCGGCGGUUCGGGGGCGGCGCUAGGCCCCGAGGCGCCCGGGCCGGAGCGCGGGGAGCGGGGAGUGCGGGGCCGGGCGGCGGCGGCAUGAGCCGGCCCCCGGCGACGGGGAAAAUGCCCGGCGCCCCCGAGGCCGUGUCGGGGGACGGGGCGGGCGCGAGCCGCCAGAGGAAGCUGGAGGCGCUGAUCCGAGACCCUCGCUCGCCCAUCAACGUGGAGAGCUUGCUGGAUGGCUUAAAUUCCUUGGUCCUUGAUUUGGAUUUUCCUGCUUUGAGGAAAAACAAGAAUAUAGAUAAUUUCUUAAAUAGAUAUGAGAAAAUUGUGAAAAAAAUCAGAGGUCUGCAGAUGAAGGCAGAAGACUAUGAUGUUGUAAAAGUGAUUGGGAGAGGUGCUUUUGGUGAAGUGCAGCUGGUUCGUCAUAAGGCAUCACAGAAGGUUUAUGCUAUGAAGCUUCUUAGUAAGUUUGAAAUGAUAAAAAGAUCAGAUUCUGCUUUUUUCUGGGAAGAGAGAGAUAUUAUGGCCUUCGCCAACAGUCCCUGGGUGGUUCAGCUCUUUUGUGCUUUUCAAGAUGAUAAGUAUCUGUACAUGGUAAUGGAGUACAUGCCUGGUGGAGAUCUUGUAAACCUUAUGAGUAACUAUGAUGUCCCUGAAAAGUGGGCCAAAUUUUAUACUGCUGAAGUUGUUCUUGCUCUGGAUGCCAUACACUCCAUGGGUCUCAUUCACAGAGAUGUAAAGCCUGACAACAUGCUCUUGGAUAAACAUGGACAUCUAAAGUUAGCGGAUUUUGGCACAUGUAUGAAGAUGGAUGAAACAGGCAUGGUGCAUUGUGAUACAGCAGUUGGAACACCUGAUUAUAUUUCACCUGAGGUUCUCAAAUCACAAGGGGGUGAUGGUUACUAUGGGCGAGAAUGUGAUUGGUGGUCUGUGGGUGUUUUCCUUUUUGAGAUGCUGGUGGGGGAUACUCCAUUUUAUGCAGAUUCACUUGUAGGAACAUAUAGCAAAAUUAUGGAUCAUAAAAACUCACUGUGUUUCCCAGAAGAUGCAGAAAUUUCUAAACAUGCGAAGAAUCUCAUCUGUGCCUUCUUAACAGAUAGGGAGGUACGACUUGGGAGAAAUGGGGUAGAAGAAAUCAAACAACAUCCUUUCUUUAAGAAUGAUCAGUGGAAUUGGGAUAACAUAAGAGAGACGGCAGCUCCUGUAGUACCUGAACUCAGCAGUGACAUAGACAGCAGCAACUUUGAUGACAUCGAAGAUGAUAAAGGAGAUGUAGAAACCUUCCCAAUUCCUAAAGCUUUUGUGGGAAAUCAGCUGCCUUUUAUAGGAUUUACCUACUAUAGAGAAAAUUUGUUAUUAAGUGACUCUCCAUCUUGCAGAGAAAAUGAUUCAAUACAGUCAAGGAAAAAUGAAAUUCAGAAAAAACUAUACACGUUAGAAGAACACCUUAGCACUGAGAUACAAGCCAAAGAAGAAUUAGAGCAGAAGUGCAAAUCUGUUAAUACUCGCCUUGAGAAGGUAGCAAAGGAGCUAGAAGAGGAGAUUACCUUAAGGAAAAAUGUGGAAUCAACAUUAAGACAAUUAGAAAGAGAAAAGGCACUUCUUCAGCACAAAAAUGCAGAAUAUCAGCGGAAAGCUGAUCACGAAGCAGACAAGAAACGAAAUUUGGAAAACGAUGUUAACAGUUUAAAGGAUCAACUUGAAGAUUUGAAAAAAAGGAAUCAGAACUCUCAAAUAUCCACUGAGAAAGUAAAUCAACUCCAGAGACAACUGGAUGAAACCAAUGCUUUGCUGAGAACAGAAUCUGAUACUGCAGCCCGAUUAAGAAAAACCCAGGCAGAAAGUACAAAACAGAUUCAGCAGCUGGAAUCUAACAAUAGAGAUCUUCAAGAUAAAAAUUGUCUGCUGGAGACUGCCAAGUUAAAACUUGAAAAGGAAUUUAUCAAUCUUCAGUCAGUUCUAGAAUCUGAAAGGAGGGACCGAACCCACGGAUCAGAGAUAAUUAAUGACUUACAAGGUAGAAUAUCUGGCCUAGAAGAAGACUUAAAGAAUGGCAAAAUCUUAUUAGCAAAAGUAGAGAUGGAGAAGAGACAACUACAGGAGAGAUUUACUGAUUUGGAAAAGGAAAAGAACAACAUGGAAAUAGAUAUGACAUACCAACUAAAAGUUAUACAGCAGAGCUUAGAACAAGAAGAAGCUGAGCAUAAGGCUACAAAAGCACGGCUGGCAGAUAAAAAUAAAAUUUAUGAAUCCAUUGAAGAAGCAAAAUCCGAAGCCAUGAAAGAAAUGGAGAAAAACCUCUCAGAGGAAAGGACGUUAAAGCAGAAGGUGGAAAACCUGUUGCUGGAAGCUGAGAAGAGAUGCUCUAUAUUAGACUGUGACCUCAAACAGUCACAGCAGAAAAUAAAUGAACUCCUUAAGCAGAAAGAUGUGCUAAAUGAAGAUAUCAGAAACUUGACAUUAAAAAUAGAGCAAGAAACUCAAAAGCGCUGCCUUACACAAAAUGACUUGAAGAUGCAAACACAGCAAGUUAACACACUAAAAAUGUCAGAAAAGCAGUUAAAACAGGAGAAUAAUCAUCUCAUGGAAAUGAAAAUGAGCUUGGAAAAGCAGAAUGCUGAACUUCGAAAAGAACGUCAAGAUGCAGACGGGCAAAUGAAGGAACUCCAAGAUCAGCUUGAAGCAGAGCAGUACUUCUCAACUCUCUAUAAAACACAGGUGAGAGAACUUAAAGAAGAAUGUGAAGAAAAGACUAAACUUUGUAAAGAAUUACAGCAGAAGAAACAGGAAUUCGAGGACGAAAGAGACUCCUUGGCUGCUCAACUGGAGAUCACCUUGACCAAAGCAGAUUCUGAGCAGCUGGCUCGUUCAAUUGCUGAAGAGCAAUAUUCUGAUUUGGAAAAAGAGAAAAUCAUGAAAGAGCUUGAGAUCAAAGAGAUGAUGGCUAGACACAAACAGGAACUCACUGAAAAAGAUGCUACAAUUGCAUCUCUUGAAGAAACUAACAGGACACUAACUAGUGAUGUUGCCAAUCUUGCAAAUGAGAAAGAAGAAUUAAAUAACAAAUUAAAAGAUGCCCAAGAACAGCUAUCACGGUUGAAAGAUGAGGAGAUAAGUGCAGCCGCUAUUAAAGCACAAUUUGAGAAGCAACUAUUAACAGAGAGAACACUGAAAACUCAAGCUGUGAACAAGUUGGCCGAGAUCAUGAAUCGAAAAGAACCUGUCAAGCGUGGUAGUGACACUGAUGUGCGGAGAAAAGAGAAAGAGAAUAGAAAGCUACAUAUGGAGCUUAAAUCUGAACGUGAAAAACUGACCCAGCAGAUGAUCAAGUAUCAGAAAGAACUGAAUGAAAUGCAGGCUCAAAUAGCUGAAGAGAGCCAGAUUCGAAUUGAACUGCAGAUGGCCCUGGACAGUAAAGACAGUGACAUUGAGCAGCUGCGGUCACAGCUCCAGGCCUUGCAUAUUGGUCUGGAUAGUUCCAGUAUAGGCAGUGGACCAGGGGAUGCUGAGGCAGAUGAUGGCUUUCCAGUUCAUAUCACUCAGUCACGCACUAUGGAAUCCUUGUCAUUCACCUACCAACGUUCCUCUACUUCUCUCAAUAUUGCCACUAAGCCUUCCAGUUCUCAUAUGCUUCUUGACUCUGAUUCUGACUCAGAAGAAGAAUCUUUGCCUUACUUACCUAUUUCAUCGGAACCUGAUGGUACAGAAUCAAGACUAGAAGGAUGGCUUUCAUUGCCUGUGCGAAACAACACUAAGAAAUUUGGAUGGGUUAAAAAGUAUGUGAUUGUAAGCAGUAAGAAGAUUCUUUUCUAUGACAGUGAACAAGAUAAAGAACAAUCUAAUCCUUACAUGGUUUUAGAUAUAGACAAAUUAUUUCAUGUCCGACCAGUUACACAAACAGAUGUAUAUAGAGCAGAUGCUAAAGAAAUUCCAAGGAUAUUUCAGAUUCUGUAUGCCAAUGAAGGAGAAAGUAAGAAGGAACAAGAAUUUCCCGUGGAGCCCGUGGGAGAAAAGUCAAAUUAUAUUUGCCAUAAGGGACAUGAGUUCAUUCCUACCCUCUAUCAUUUCCCAACCAACUGUGAGGCUUGUAUGAAGCCUUUAUGGCAUAUGUUCAAACCCCCCCCUGCGUUAGAGUGCCGCCGCUGCCACAUUAAAUGUCAUAAAGAUCACAUGGACAGAAAGGAGGAGAUUAUAGCACCUUGCAAAGUUUAUUAUGAUAUUUCGACGGCCAAGAACCUAUUGUUAUUGGCAAAUUCUACAGAAGAGCAGCAAAAGUGGGUUAGUCGGUUGGUGAAAAAGAUACCUAAAAAGCCUCCAGCCCCAGACCCUUUUGCACGGUCAUCUCCUAGAACUUCAAUGAAGAUACAACAAAACCAGUCUAUUAGACGGCCAAGUCGACAGCUUGCCCCAAACAAACCAAGUUCUGGCCCCGCCCUUCGAAUCAUUCUUCACUGAUUUUUUAAUACAUUUUGCAUAGCAACAAUUGCUUGAUUUGGCAUUUAAAGACUGGGAUUGGUCAUUUGAUGAUGUUGAUGGUGGUGAUGAUGAUGACGAUGUUUUUGAUUUCUGAAGAAAUAAAUGGGCUAGCUGCCUUCUGUGAAUGCAGUUGUUAUUCAAGGUGGUCAUAUUCUUCCAGUUAAAACAAGACUGAAAUAUGAUGGCCCAAAAUUUCUUAAAAAGCUAUAUUUUCCUGAGAGACUGAUACACACACACACACACACACACACACACACACACACACACACACAU
This is an RNA transcript of Acinonyx jubatus (cheetah), 5159 nucleotides long. It is a transcript of the gene named Rho associated coiled-coil containing protein kinase 2, with no coding region annotated. The record is from RefSeq and is a predicted model, not a curated record. NCBI's taxonomy places the organism in Eukaryota, Metazoa, Chordata, Mammalia, Carnivora, Felidae. The transcript has 35 exons.